AGAGAGGUUCGAUCCUGGCUCAGAUUGAACGCUGGCGGGAUGCUUACAUGCAAGUCAGGCAACGCGCUACGGACUUCGGUCACGGUGGCGAGUGGCGAACGGGUGAGUAAUGUAUCGGAACGUGCCUAGUAGCGGGGGAUAACUACGCGAAAGCGUAGCUAAUACCGCAUACGCCCUUCAGGAAAGCGGAGACCUUCGGGCCUCGCACUAUUAGAGCGGCCGAUAUCGGAUUAGCUAGUUGGGUAGGUAACGGCUCGCAAGGCGACGAUCCGUAGCUGGUUUGAAGGGACGACAAGCACUGGGACUGAGACACAGCCCAGACUCCUACGGGGAGGCGGCGGUGGGGAAUUUUGGACAAUGGAAACCUGAUCCAGCCAUCCCGCGUGUGCGAUGAAACCUUCAGGUUUAGCAAAGCACUUUUGGCAGGAAAGAAACGGCACGGGAUAAUACCCCGUGCAACUGACGGUACCUGCAGAAUAAGCACCGGCUAACUACGUGCCAGCAGCCGCGGUAAUACGUAGGGCGCAAGCGUUAAUCGGAAUUACUGGAGGCGUAAAGCGUGCGCAGGCGGUUGGAAAGAGAAAGAUGUGAAAUCCAGAGCUUAACUUUUGAACUGCAUUUUUUUAACUACCGAGCUAGAGUGUGUCGAGGGAGGUGGAAUUCCGCGUGUAGCGAGUGAAAUGCGUAGAUAUGCGGAGGAACACCGAUGGCGAAGGCAGCCUCCUGGGAUAACACUGACGCUCAUGCACGAAAGCGUGGGAGCAAACAGGAUUAGAUGCCUGGUGGUCACGCCCUAAACGAUGUCAACCAGCUGUUGGGGCCUUCGGGCCUUGGUAGCGCAGCUAACAUGACAGAAGUUGACCGCCUGAGGAGGCCGGUAUAAGAUUAAAACUCAAGAUUGACAGGGACCCGCACAAGCGGUGGAUGAUCCAGAAAGCUGGAUUAAUUCGAUCCCAACGCGAAAACCGCCUACCUUGGCCAUGUCUCUGGAAUCCCCGAAGGGUUGGGAGUGCUCGCAAGAAAGGCAAGACACAGGUGCUGCAUGGCUAUAAACAAGCUUGAUGUCGUGAGAUGUUGGGUUAAGGUCACAACGAGCGCAACCCUUGUCAUUAGUUGCUACGAAAGGGGCGACAAUGAGAUGCCGGUGACAAACCAGGAGGAAGAUUGGGGAUGACGUCAAGUCCUCAUGGCCCUUAUGGGUAGGGCUUCACACAUCAUCACAAUGGUCGGGACAGAGGGUCGCCAACCCGCGAGGGAGCCAAUCGAAGGCGAUGUAGUCCGGAUACCGAGUCUGCCAACUCGACUGCGUGAAGUCGGAAUCGCUAAUCGUCGCGGAUCAGCAUGUCGCGGUGAAUACGUUCCCGGGUCUUAUACACACCGCCCGUCACACCAUGGGAGUGGGUUUUACCAGAAGUAGUUAGCCUAACCGUAAGGAGGGCGAUUACCACGGUAGGAUUCAUGACUGGGGUGAAGUCGUGGCACAAGGUAGCU
This 1491-nucleotide ribosomal RNA is filed under the name uncultured Bordetella sp. RNAcentral's name for it is "partial 16S-23S ribosomal RNA intergenic spacer". It matches the Rfam family "Bacterial small subunit ribosomal RNA". Lineage: Bacteria; Pseudomonadati; Pseudomonadota; Betaproteobacteria; Burkholderiales; Alcaligenaceae. The record is from RNAcentral.